GCGACCGGCGCACGGGUGAGUAACACGUAUCCAACCUACCUUUUACUCGGGGAUAACCCUUCGAAAGAAGGACUAAUACCCGAUAGUAUGUAAUUAUCUCAUGAUGAUUCCAUUAAAGGAUUCCGGUAAUCGAUGGGGAUGCGUUUCAUUAGAUUGUUGGUGAGGUAACGGCUCACCAAGUCUUCGAUGAAUAGGGGUUCUGAGAGGAAGGUCCCCCACACUGGUACUGAGACACGGACCAG
Molecule: ribosomal RNA, 242 nt
Filed under: uncultured bacterium
Lineage: Bacteria
Description: partial 16S ribosomal RNA
Rfam family: Bacterial small subunit ribosomal RNA
Source: RNAcentral